GACGAACGCUGGCGGCGUGCCUAAUACAUGCAAGUAGAACGCUGAAGGAGGAGCUUGCUUCUCUGGAUGAGUUGCGAACGGGUGAGUAACGCGUAGGUAACCUGCCUGGUAGCGGGGGAUAACUAUUGGAAACGAUAGCUAAUACCGCAUAAUAGUAGAUGUUGCAUGACAUUUACUUAAAAGGUGCAAUUGCAUCACUACCAGAUGGACCUGCGUUGUAUUAGCUAGUUGGUGGGGUAACGGCUCACCAAGGCGACGAUACAUAGCCGACCUGAGAGGGUGAUCGGCCACACUGGGACGGAGACACGGCCCAGACUCCUACGGGAGGCAGCAGUAGGGAAUCUUCGGCAAUGGACGAAAGUCUGACCGAGCAACGCCGCGUGAGUGAAGAAGGUUGUCGGAUCGUAAAGCUCUGUUGUAAGAGAAGAACGAGUGUGAGAGUGGAAAGUUCACACUGUGACGGUAUCUUACCAGAAAGGGACGGCUAACUACGUG
Molecule: ribosomal RNA, 495 nt
Filed under: uncultured bacterium
Lineage: Bacteria
Description: partial 16S ribosomal RNA
Rfam family: Bacterial small subunit ribosomal RNA
Source: RNAcentral